AUUCAGCAAUCUUUUUAUGCAAGCUAUAGCAUUCUUAUAUGGAUUAUAAAAGGCUUAUUCACAACAUGUUCCAAAAUAUUCUUUAUCUUCAGUGGAAUCAUAAGAUUUUUCAGAGUAGAUUACUGUAUAAAAUUUGUCAUAUAGCCAUUAUUUUGCCAGCGUCUUUAUGCCUGAGUUGCGGGACUACAUGUCCCACCUCUUUUAUGUGUUGCACAUGUCCUAAAGCUAGAAUGACAUAUUCAAAAUCCCAGGCUAAUGCACAAUCAAGAAAAACAAAUUGGAGGGAGAUUUUUUAGAAAGAAGGUACCAUAGCAUCGUUGGCAACACAUGCUACUCAAACAGAAGUGAGGAUUCAUUGAUCUUUUGUCUACCACCAGGCCACCAAGUGCUUGAAGACUUUUCAACUCUACAAAGUUGAAAAGUUGACAUUUUUAAUAGGUGAUGGCUGCUACUGUUGUGUAAUGUUGACAUUUUGAAUCUAGUGAGUUUGUUAAAAUAAUUAGCAGCCAACUUUUAUAGGCAUUACAUGCAUAUAAGUGCCCCAUUAGUCAACUAAAUGAGAUAAGUUAAAGCCUCAACAGAAUCCAGCCUAUUAUUUGUGCUCUAGAUCCUCAGAUGGGCAUUUGUUUUAUAUCAAUCGAGGAUUUUCUGGUUAUGGUAAAUUACAUUAUUUUAAUUGUUCUCAAAGGCAAGAUGGUGAGUCAUAAAUGAUCAUACUGUCACUAGGUCUACAGGUCUUUGGUUACCCAACAUGGUCCCUUUUGUUCUUGACAUAGCAGUACUUUCUUAUUGAUGCUUGUUCUGGAACUCAGAAGACUAGACUCCAGUCAAUAUACAUCUUCUGACAGCAUGGGAACUCUCAUUCUGGGGCCUCAUCAUGGACCUUAUCUUGCUGAGAACAUAAUGACAGCCUCUUAUCAACUACUUGGGAUCUGUUCUCAAUCAUCAUCUCUGGUAUGAACAAAGAACGACCGCAAAUGGAAGACCAGUGAGAAGCUGUGUGUGUACUGUGAGGUCUAGCAAGGCAGGAUUGUUCUUAGCACAAUAAUUCCCAAGAAGGAUCUACUAACCAGCUUCAUCCAGCUGCUGCUGCUGAUGCAGAACGAUCUUUCACAAUUCAAAAAGAGUUCUUCAUGCUUCACCAAUGACAUUGAUCAAACAGAUUGUGCUGAUGGCAUUCUUCCUCAAUGAAAGCUGUGGUGGUCUGACCAUGACCAGAAAGCAGAUUGAUCUUCCAUGCUGCACAACAGGUUGCUUAAGGUGCCCUCAUGUCCACCAUUCUCAAGCUUGGGGCACUGUGUUUCUGGCCUCGAGGAGCUUUGGAAGAUCUGGUCCAUGUCUCCCGGCCUAACUGGCUG
Musa acuminata AAA Group (dessert banana) is the source of this 1358-nucleotide long non-coding RNA. RefSeq lists it as uncharacterized. The transcript is spliced from 2 exons. The record is from RefSeq and is a predicted model, not a curated record. NCBI's taxonomy places the organism in Eukaryota, Viridiplantae, Streptophyta, Magnoliopsida, Zingiberales, Musaceae.